RNAcentral lists this ribosomal RNA (479 nucleotides) under uncultured bacterium. RNAcentral describes it as "partial 16S ribosomal RNA". It matches the Rfam family "Bacterial small subunit ribosomal RNA", at positions 28 to 523 of the family's 1533-position model. The record is from RNAcentral.
GACGAACGCUGGCGGCGUGCUUAACACAUGCAAGUCGAACGGAGAUGUUAGCAAUAACAUCUUAGUGGCGGACGGGUGAGUAACGCGUGGGCAACUUGCCUCUAACUGGGGGAUAACACAGGGAAACUUGUGCUAAUACCGCAUAAUAUCACUGGGUGGCAUCAUUCGGUGAUCAAAGGAGUAAUCCGGUGAGAGAUGGGCCCGCGUCCGAUUAGCUAGUUGGUGGUGUAACGGACCACCAAGGCGACGAUCGGUAGCCGAACUGAGAGGUUGAUCGGCCACAUUGGGACUGAGACACGGCCCAGACUCCUACGGGAGGCAGCAGUGGGGAAUAUUGCACAAUGGGGGAAACCCUGAUGCAGCAACGCCGCGUGAAGGAUGAAGGUUUUCGGAUUGUAAACUUCUUUAGUCAGGGACGAAAAAAAUGACGGUACCUGAAGAAUAAGCCACGGCUAACUACGUGCCAGCCGCCGCCGUAA